CCUCUUCCCUUUCCUCUUCUCUGCUAACAGGGACCGGGUCGUAGCAGUUUUCGUGCAGGGUCCUGCGUGGCAGUUCAAAGGUUGGCCGUGGCUUUUGCCUGAUGGAUCACCAGUUGACAUAUUUGCUAAAAUUAAAGCCUUCCAUCUCAAAUAUGAUGAAGUUCGUCUGGACCCAAACGUUCAGAAAUGGGACGUAACAGUAUUAGAGCUCAGCUAUCACAAACGUCAUCUGGACAGACCAGUUUUCUUACGAUUCUGGGAAACAUUGGAUAGGUACAUGGUAAAGCACAAAUCCCACUUGAGAUUCUGAGUUACUACUUGUUUUCUUGCUUUUCUGGAAAUCUGAACUAAGAUGAUAACACCGCGGAUACACCGUGAUACACCGUGCUCUAAAGACUGGGACUGAAGCUUUAUGAAUUUAUCAAGAACUUAAAAAUGAAGAAGGUCACGGAUUGAUCUUUUAUAAAACCUUAUUUGAUGAUUUAUGCUUCAAAGGGAUGAUGCCUGUCAUCCAUAUAAGCAAACUUUUUGGCUUACAGCUAUUUUUUUAAUAUUAGUCUUCUAGUCUGUAAUGGAAAUUGUAUAUUUUGAUAGAAGUUUUUUCUCCAUUGGUUACAUUAGCAUCACUUAAAAUUUGUUUCUCUAGGUAAUAAAUACAGGUUACAAAUGUGUGUAUAUGUAGAGGUUAUAAGGCUCUCUAAGCCAUCUUGCUUCUGAUUUUUCAUUGCUCUUUAAUUCCUUUUAUUGAAAAUACUAUGUUAUGAAUGGUAUUAAAAUUUAGUCUCUGAAACGUCAAAAACCAAGCAAAGGGAUGUGACUAUUUUGAAUGAAUCAAAAUAUCAGCCUGUAUGUGUACUAUGCUUUCUCUUUAUUUAAAAAGGAAUAAUGAAAAAUCAAGAAGAAUUCUUCAGCUUUGGUUGAACUGUUCAGUUUUUUAAGACUUCUUUACUUAUAAUGAAUACAUUUAAUGAAUGUACAUUCUUCUCACUGACUUUGGUAAUUUUAAAACUUAAGAGUGAUAUGUUUCUAUCUGUGAUAUCUUUCCACUUGAAAAAUCUCAAAACACAGAUUAAAAACCUAAUAGGCUAUAAUACUUUUUAUUUUGGGAGCCAGAAUAUGAUUCGGGGGAAAGAAAUGUAUACGUCCUUCUGCAGUGUAACUUUAUCUUUUCUCAUAAGUCCACCUUCCAAUUCUUCCUUUAUAUGGUAUAGGAUUUUGAGUCUUCUAUUUCUAGGCAUGUUCUUAUCUUCCAUUAUCUUUAAUAUUGAUAACUCUCCCAGACACCAAAGAACAUAUUUGAUUAAUUAAGUGUCUGAACAGAAACAAGAUGAAAACACUGGUAUUUUUAUGUGCGUAUUCAAUAUCGUAUAAAAUAUAAAACCUAUAUUUUAACUUAGCAAAAUAUUUUACUACUUCUGUACUUUAGACAGAGUGUUGCCUCCAAGGUACAAUGAAUGAGCAUUUUUCUUGAGUCUUGAUCCAUCUUUUAUUCCUUAAAAAGCAACUUGGACCCUUUACUCCCCUAAAGAGUUUUUACCACUAGAAUUGCUGCUGAUCAUUCAUCUUAUGCCAUUCCCGUCCUCCCCGCCCCCCUACAUUUAGCUCCUUUCUGGGUUAAGCUGACAUUACCUAGCCUCAUUUUGAAAUUUAAUGCUGUCAUAAAAAUGAGAAGCACUUAAUAUUUAUUUUUUAAGUAACCACAAAAGUCCAUGUCAGUAAUGAAUAGAAAAAGUAUUUAUUCAUAUGGAAUUUACUAGGUUCUUCAGGAAAAAAGCAGUCAGCAUUUUAAAUUAUUAGGAUUUAGGAUAUGUAUAAGAUUUUAACAGAUUGUGCCCCGCCCCCCCUUCUUACCUUCUUUGCAUCCUUUCUUCUUGAAAAGAAAACUCAAAUUUGUUCACAUUAGAAUUUCUCAGUAUAUAAAUCUGUUUUCAAAAUAUGUAUUGUAUGAACUUUCUCCAUGAUGAAAUAGUCAAGGACUAGAAUCUGUAAUAUUUUAAUGUAAGAUUACUUGUUAAGACUACUACAAGUGGACAUGAACUACCUUUCUAUAAAGAUUUUUAGUAUUUAUACUUAUGUAUGAAAUUUACAGAGUGUGGUUAUAACUCAGAACAUCUACUUUCAAUAGGGUUUAUUUUUCUAUCUUGAAUUUGCCUUACGUGUAUUCAAAAGCUCUGGAAAUAACAUUAGGAAAAGUACAAAUAUGCUAUGAAUUUCAUGUAUCUUAAAAUCAGACCCUUAAUGCAUAGUUAAUUUCUUUUCCUUUUUUAAAAAUUCAUUCCCUUAUCUAGGUCCAUGGAAUUCAUUUUAUAGCCAUUAAUUCUAAGGGAAAAAAAAAAAAAAACUUCUGGCCAGUCACUCUCCUUUUCUCAUGACUCCAGGUCCUGUAGCAGUGCCUGUCAUGGUGCCUUGCACAUAGUAGGCAUUCAGUAAAUGUUCUGUGCAUGAAUGAGUGAUGGAGUUUCAGUAUAACUGGUUUAUUACAAAGCAUUGACUCUACUUGAUCUUGGAGCUUAAAAAUAUAGAAUCACAAUGAAUGAAGAGUCCUAUGCACAUAUUUUGAUGGAAAUGAAAUACACAUUAGUAAGCUUGAUUUAUCCACAAGUAACUGGAGACACCCGUGUCUUGUCCCACCAGUAAAAGAAAGCUCCUUUUCUUCAUUUGUAGGAUACUUUUCUGAGUCGGGCAACAGUCAGAAGCUUGUGAGUUUCCAUCAGCAGCCCUCAACCCUGACUGUAUACUAGAAUCACUUGGGGGCCUUUAAAAAAAUUCCAUUACCUGAAUCCUGUUUCUGAUUUUAUUUGUCUGGGAUGAGACCCAUUCAUCAGUAUUUUUAAAAAGUCCUUCAGGUAAUUUUAUGUUCAAAAACAUAAUUGAAAAUCACUGGUUAAAUAUGAAAACAAAUAUUGUGUCGUCUCCUCCUUUUUUUGUUUUUGUUUUUUUCUUUUGUGGCCACCUUUUUGCACUAGACCAUCCCCAUUAUUGGUGGUAUUGGCCUAUGGUUCCACAUGACAAAUUCAAGUCUUAUUUAUUUAAUGUAGGAAUAUUUUGUUUAAUAUUUAAAUAAUGUUUAAUAUAUUUCCUUAUAAACUAGUCUUAUAGUUCAUGAUUUGUUUCCCAUGUAUCCAUCUCCUUUACUAACUUUUUCUUUCAACAGCAGCAUGACAAUAGUCCAAAAGAAGUAACUGAUUCAUAAUGGGAAAAAUUUCAUAAUUUUUAAGGUAGAAGGAAGUAAAGUAUUAAUUUCUUAUCUGCCAUGCAGAAUUAGACAAAUAGAGUCUGCUUAUGAAAGGAAAGAGGCAUACUUUUUAAUUGGUCUACACAGAAAAGUAAAAGUAUUCAUUUAAAUAAGAUUCAUUAUCUAAUGAACAUUGAAGGAAAUAUUUUUCCUAAAUAAAAAAUAUUGUGACUCCUAAUAAAAUUAAAGUGAUGACAUUGUUCUUUUUUUGGAAGGUGGGGAGGGGGGUAUUUAGUUGCCAUAUUUCUUACUACAUAGCAAUUCUAUUUUAUUGGUAUUAAUAAUAGAAACAGUGAUGAUAGGGUAUACAUAUGUGGCCAGGAAUAAAUUGCCACUCUUCCAGAUAACUGUUCUAUGAGUCUUACUAAUUUAUAAAUCAGCUUAUAAAAUUUUUUAAGACCAGUGGUAUAUUUUAUAAUAUUACAAAUGCAUUCUUUAUAAAAGCUGGUCAAAAUUAACCAUGAAAAAUAAUCACUUUAACCUUAAUAUUACAUGACUGAGCUUUUAUUAUUCAGUUGGAUUUGAUGUGGAACGGACUACUCUAACCAUGGUAUAUUAACUUUAGAAAUAAAAAGGGGAGAAAUGACUGAAUUUGACUUAAGAAUUGGAUUAGAAAUUUGGAAAUGCCACUUGCUAUGUGUUCUGGGCAGUUCAUUGCCACAUUGGCAACUCAUUGCUGACUCAAGACCCCAGCACAGUUUCUACAUUAACAUGUUGGAAUAAUUAAGAAAAAAAAUUUAAAUGUAUAAUAGAUGUAUAAAGAAUUAUAUUUAGUAAAUGGAUAAUAGGUGAUAACACUUCCAGGUUAUUGGUCUGUUUGUUUUUUUAUGUAUUAUUUUAGGUAGUGUUUAUAAGAAUAUCUUGGGAGUUACAAAUGUGUGCCAUUUAAGUGAGUAAAGUUAAUGAAAUAAAACUAAUUUUAUUGCCGAA
This is a non-coding RNA of Odocoileus virginianus texanus, 4165 nucleotides long. The record is from RefSeq and is a predicted model, not a curated record. NCBI's taxonomy places the organism in Eukaryota, Metazoa, Chordata, Mammalia, Artiodactyla, Cervidae.